This is a long non-coding RNA of Brassica napus (rape), 1778 nucleotides long. RefSeq lists it as uncharacterized. The record is from RefSeq and is a predicted model, not a curated record. Lineage: Eukaryota; Viridiplantae; Streptophyta; Magnoliopsida; Brassicales; Brassicaceae. The transcript has 5 exons.
ACCUCUUCUUAAAUGACUCUUUCCUCCGAUCAAUUUCACAAGUGAGUUUCAUAGUCCGUCUGUCUGCUAACGUUUUUUCAAGAGUUCUCCAGAAAAGAUCCAAAAAUGAAUGGUUAAUUUCCAGAUUCUAUUUUCCGAAUUGAAGGAAGGUCAUUGCAGAGAAAAGGGGUAAGUUCAUGGGUGUUGAGAUGGUUCUGAUUGACGGGAAGGUUAUCUGAUUCUCUUUAAUCUCUUAUAAGUUACUUGAAUCCAUGAUUUUAUUUUAAUCCUUCACCAUCUAGAUUCAAAGACCUGCUCAAAACAAGGAUCCCUUUUAGGAGCUAACUGGUUUUGAUGUCACCAGGAGCAUCCAAAACUUCAGAUUCGCUGAUGCCCCUGUUUCAAUCAGAUUCAUAGAGCAAACAGGUUUCAUAAUUUCGACCAGCUAUUGUCACUGGCUAACACAAACACUGAAUUGCCAGUUAGACACUUCAUUACCUGACCUAUAAUUUAUUUCAUCCUCUAAAAUCUGCCAUUAAUCCUUAUGUUCCUCUGCAGAUAUCAUUGGGGGAGGUGCGGGGCAUAAGGACCACUUAGACCGAGAAACCCAAUCCACUCAGACGCCUCAUGGCUGAAGCCUGAACUCAUUACUUGCUUCACAUAGAUCCCCUUAGCGGUUUGGUUGUUGCCGUCUGACCUUACGUCGUUUACAUGACAUCUAGCUUACAUCUUCAGGGACGGACCCGCAUGCAUAAGUGUAUUCGACAACCUUGCGGAGCUCCUCGAUGAGGAAUUAGUAAUGUCAGGUGUGGAACCAAAGGUUUCUGUAGCCACCAAUAUCAACCCUAAAUUAGUUGGAGAGUUGGUCACCACAAGGUUGGUCUCGGUAGGAAGGUUCAUCCUCAACGUCUACAAAAUAUGGUGAUGUUAAGAAGAUCGAAACGUUAACACUGUCUGAGCUAAAUGCUUAUAUCACAUCUCCCUACAGGUGACCACUUUCACGUAACCCAUCUGUUAGUGCGUUUCUUGACCGACAAUUACUUUCACUUUUGUUGGUGCCUUAUCCAAAGUGUCCCUGAGAUAAAGAGCAAACGACGAAAGAAAGAUUUCUAUUACAUGGUAUCUCACCAGAAUCAAUCUUUUUUGGACCGUAUUGCAAUGAUGAAAGCAAGAUGAUCGUUGUGUAUGAGUAUAUGAAAAAAGGAACGCUUAAAGACCAUCUGUAUGACUCGGAUAAUCCUAGGUUGAGCUGGAGACAGAAGCUUGAGAUAUGCGCUAAAGGGCUUCACUAUCUCCAUACAGGUUCGCAAGAGCCAUUAUACACUGCGUGUGAAGUCUGCUUCAGGUAAACAUUUAGGACCAACUCUUCUUCUAUAGAACCUGUUGAAGGAGCUUUACUCUUUACACAAUGUUAUAAUCUGUCUACAGGCCAUUGAAGCUCUCGACCCGAACCACAAACUAGUAGUUUACUAGAACCACAAGAAGCAAACUCAAUCUGAAUAGAAAGACAACUUCAUAUCAUCAAACUGAUCCGUGGUUUGAGCAAAUUUGAUGUAACAAAAGCUCCAAGAGCAACUCCGAGACAACAAGAGUGACUACCUUUUGGAUAGAUAGAGAACAUUUCUUUCUUUCAUUUCUUUUUUUGUUGCAUUCAUCCAGAGUCUUUUGUUCUUUUUAUUCUCAGCAAAAUUUUCAGUAAACAAAUAACCUACCUUAGCGUUUAUAAAAGUAUAACUUGGAACAAUAAAUGUUCGAUUCUUUCGCUAAUGCCAUAUGAUAAUAAUACAAAAGAAAUUCAA